UACGUAGGUGGCAAGCGUUAUCCGGAAUUAUUGGGCGUAAAGCGCGCGCAGGCGGUUUCUUAAGUCUGAUGUGAAAGCCCACGGCUCAACCGUGGAGGGUCAUUGGAAACUGGGAAACUUGAGUGCAGAAGAGAAAAGCGGAAUUCCACGUGUAGCGGUGAAAUGCGUAGAGAUGUGGAGGAACACCAGUGGCGAAGGCGGCUUUUUGGUCUGUAACUGACGCUGAGGCGCGAAAGCGUGGGGAGCAAACAGG
This 253-nucleotide ribosomal RNA is filed under the name uncultured bacterium. Its description in RNAcentral is "partial 16S ribosomal RNA". It matches the Rfam family "Bacterial small subunit ribosomal RNA", at positions 524 to 776 of the family's 1533-position model. The record is from RNAcentral.